Cuculus canorus (common cuckoo) is the source of this 3258-nucleotide long non-coding RNA. RefSeq lists it as uncharacterized. NCBI's taxonomy places the organism in Eukaryota, Metazoa, Chordata, Aves, Cuculiformes, Cuculidae. The transcript has 6 exons. The record is from RefSeq and is a predicted model, not a curated record.
GUUGGAUGGGGCUUGGAGCCCCUGAUCCAGUGGGAGGUGUCCCUGCCCAUGGCAGGGGUGGGAAUGGGUGGGCUUUGAGGUCCCUUCCAACCGGAACCAUUCCAUGAUCUCUCAGGCUGGAGUUGUGGCAGUUGUCAGAGUUCGCUGUGGAGAGUCACUCUGCUGGGUCUAGCUGUGCUGCAUCCCCAUGGUCAUCUGUCAAGUACUGCGUUUCCACUGAUCCUCUACCUCUUCCCUCUGGAGCCAGGCUGGAACAGAACUGGAAGAGAGAAGGAUUUCCAAGGGGGAUUGAGGAGCUACUGCUGUUUGCUGUGUGCUGUGGCCUUUCCCUCGUGCUCCUCUCUUGGGCCACUGGCCCCGGUGGAGUGGGGCAGAGCGGGAUGGAUGGAUGCUGGCGCGGAGCCUGGCUGCUGUGCUGCCCCGGAUGGACAUCCCCAAGGGAUCCAAUUGUUGCAAAUGGCCACACGUGAAGAAAAAUACACUGCUUUUAAUGACUUACCUGAGCACAAAGGAAACCUCAUACCUACUGCUGUAUGAAAAAUAUCUCCAAGACAACAGUGCACUGCACAAGAAGCUGCAUUAUAUUCAGUCAUAUCAUCUGAAUGGACUCUUGAUGAUGUGGGUAUCUGGCAGGAUGCUCUCUGGCAGCUGGGGAGGUGCCACUCACCACAGUGACUCCGGAGAAACACAUCCCACAGAGGUUGAACAUGCCAGGGCUAUUCCAGGACAGAGGAGGGCACUCGCCCGCCAGCCUCCUGCCACCACGGUUGGGCAUCUCUGACCAUGGGCCGUCCAAAAGUGCUUCACACGACCAUCUGUCAGGUCAAGAGCAAACCACACCCAGGCAAAGGUUGAAGGAAGCCAGAAAGAAACACACAAUCAGCUCAAGCAUUGAAAUAUGAUAUUUACAUACUAUGUGUUACUUUUUAUGUUUAAAUACAACCACCAAGAGCGGACCUUUAUAAACCCCAACAGAUCUAGACCUGACGGACCUGGGAGCAUUUUAAAGGAUUCUGUGGAUCCAAAUGUGUGGCCUCACUUAAGGACCUGUAGAAUUUACAUGAGCUUCAUCCAUCCAUUUGCUCAGGAGUAUGAGGCUGUUGGGUCUUACUGGGUGUGGAACGGGAAAGGGAAACGUGAUGAUUUGUUGACAAUGGAAACUAUUUGCUGAUAAGAAAAUAUUGUUAUUGAAGGGAUAUUACAUCAGAGCUAAGAAGUUUUCGUGGAGUACAAAGUUAAGCAAAGGAUGAGAAAAAAUAAAUGAAAAGAAAAGAGGAAAAAAUAAAAUAAAGCAGGUGAAAUCAAUGAAAUCAUAGGAUAGUUUGGGUUGGAAGGGACCUCAAAGCCCAUCCAGUUCCACCCUCUGCCAUGGGCAGGGACACCUCCCACUGGAUCAGGGGCUCCAAGGCCCAUCCAACCUGGCCUGGAACCCCUCCAGGGAUGGGGCAGCCACCGCUUCCCUGGACAACCUGGGCCAGGGCCUCACCACUCUCAGGGUGAGGAAAUUCCUCCUUAUAUCUAGCCUAAGUCUGCCCCUCUCCCAUGUGUUCGUGGCCCUGCAAUUUGCACCACAGCAUUCCUGUCAUUGCCCACACCUGGACCCUCAGCAUGCAGGACCACGAACCAGGAAUCUCUCACUCCCUUCACAACGCCGGCUGAGAGUCUGGGUCCUUGCUCCUUGUCCCGGGGUUUUGCCUCACACAGUUACUGGAAUAGAAAGAAGAUGACAAGAAUUGUCCUCUGGUCACCCAGUGCAGCUGUGCUGCUCCAUGAAGCUGGAAUGCAGGGGUGGGAAGGCAGUGCUCCAGCUGCUCCCCCAGCAGCAUCCCCAGCCCUGGGCUCCGGGAGCAGGGCUGCCUCUGGGCUCCGCAUGGAUGGACAGGUAAGCAGAACGAAACUCCACGCUGGGUGAAGUUAGCACGGCUGCAGGCAAUGAAACGAGCCAAUGGCACGAAAAUGGAGGUCCACUUAAAAUCCAAAAUACUUGUAUUUUCAUGCAAGGUAUGGCUGAAAAAAAGGGUUAAAUAUUAUAAUUUGUAUUGCAAAAAUGGAGGUCCACUUAAAAUCUGAAAUACUUGUAUUUUCAUGCGAGGUAUAGCUGAAAAAAAGGGUUAAAUAUUAUAAUUUGUGUUGAAGUGUUAAGCCAUUCAGGAAGGAACAGUUGCGCUGCAUCCUGCAACAAAGUCAGCCGAAGAAAAGGAAAGAGUUUCUGUAAAGGCAGAUUUAGCUUUUGCUCUGGAUGGACCAGGCGAUGCGCUCCGGGCUGUCAGGUUAUGGUUCCACGUGCUGUGCGGUAGGUGGUGGAAUAAAUACCUGAGGCUGAGCGAGAGCUGUGCAGGAAAAGGCAGAAAGGAGCUCGGAGCAGGCUGUUAUCCAGCUGAAUGCUUGGAAUGGGAGAGGGUAUGGAGGGAUGCUGAGGCAGUGUGAUGCUGAGGCUGUUACCUGUGCUCGGAGGUGGUCGCUCCCCCACCAACAGGCUGCGAGACGAAGCGUCGCUCAUUUAACUCUCUUAUUUUUGAUUCUCGGUUCAUCCACUUGGUUCUUCUCAAGGUUUUAAGUUGUAGCUAUUUUGCAACCCUUUCAUUAUCUGUUUUGAAGCACCUAUCGCUGCCUGAAGAAUCACCUGGAAACGUGAAUUAACUGCAACAAUACAAAAGGCAGAAAAAGGGUUUCAUAAUUUUAUUGGAGUGGUUUCAAAAGGAGGUUGCUAGGUACGGUGCCAGUAACUCUGUGGCUGCAGGUCUGCUGCCACUAAAAAUAGUUACAAAAAGCCAUGCCUAACAGUAAAUGUACAUGCAAACAACCCCAUGCUUUAUUAAAAAAAAACCAACAAAAUCUUUUCAUUUGUUAAAAUUAUAGACAAAUCAAAGGAUAUUUUUUACUACUAUUUAAUUAAAGCAGUUACAUAGCCUGAGCCUAAAAUACCAAGGAGCGCUGUCUCUGCAGAUAUCACAGUCAAAGUUCACGAGUAUUUACACAAAAAUCGAACUUAACAAUAUUAAAAUCACGGUACAAGAGGAAAAUAAACAUUUUCAUGUAUAUCCUUGAAAAACACCGUAACCCAUAGCCACAAAAUAAGAAGUGGGUUUAAUUCACAAGCAAUUCAAAGUAUUUGAAAUUAUUGUGCCAGUACAGCCAGGCUCCAGAGAUAAUAUUCAGUAGUGGGUUCUGAUUGAGCGCAAAGCCCCUGAAGUUGGAAACGAUACAGCAAAUGUAGGUAGGUUGAAACGGUCGUAUUCAAGCGGUUCUUACUUUCGG